CAAAUCCAUCAUCUUCUACCCUGCAGGUGAUGUAUGACUGCUCUGAUGUCUUGGAGAGAAUCCUACCAAGCAGCACUCGCCUGGUUCGGAUUCCUGAACAACAAAAGCCAAAGACAGAUUCUUGAUGCCGGAGCCAACACUUCACAAAUUCCAGGCCCAGAUCUUUGGCAUAGCGCAGUUCCUGGUUAAACCCAGCACUGAAUCUUCCACACCGAAGGACCCAGCAUCCAGAAUGCUUGGGACCAGAAGCACUUCUGCUUUGGACUGGUUUUCUUCAGAGUUUGGAAUAUUUGCACAGAAAUAAUGAGCUAUCUUGGGGAUGAAGCUUAAGUCUAAAUAAGAAAUUAAAUACAAAAUUACUCUAUACUUC
Long non-coding RNA from Rattus rattus (black rat), 370 nucleotides. RefSeq lists it as uncharacterized. The record is from RefSeq and is a predicted model, not a curated record. NCBI's taxonomy places the organism in Eukaryota, Metazoa, Chordata, Mammalia, Rodentia, Muridae. The transcript is spliced from 2 exons.